ACGAACGCUGGCGGCGUGCUUAACACAUGCCGGUCGAACGGAAAGGCCCUGCUUUUGUGGGGUGCUCGAGUGGCGAACGGGUGAGUAACACGUGAGUAACCUGCCCUUGACUUUGGGAUAACUUCAGGAAACUGGGGCUAAUACCGGAUAGGAGCUCCUGCUGCAUGGUGGGGGUUGGAAAGUUUCGGCGGUUGGGGAUGGACUCGCGGCUUAUCAGCUUGUUGGUGGGGUAGUGGCUUACCAAGGCUUUGACGGGUAGCCGGCCUGAGAGGGUGACCGGCCACAUUGGGACUGAGAUACGGCCCAGGCUCCUACGGGAGGCAGCAGUGGGGAAUAUUGCACAAUGGGCGGAAGCCUGAUGCAGCAACGCCGCGUGCGGGAUGACGGCCUUCGGGUUGUAAACCGCUUUCGCCUGUGACGAAGCGUGAGUGACGGUAAUGGGUAAAGAAGCACCGGCUAACUACGUG
RNAcentral lists this ribosomal RNA (467 nucleotides) under uncultured bacterium. Its description in RNAcentral is "partial 16S ribosomal RNA". It matches the Rfam family "Bacterial small subunit ribosomal RNA", at positions 29 to 507 of the family's 1533-position model. The record is from RNAcentral.